ACCGGGCACAUGCCUGUAGUCCCAGAUACUCGGGAGGCAAAGGAAGAAGGAUCCUUUGAGUCCAGGAAUUCUGGGCUGUAACAUGCUAUGCUGAUUGGGUGUCCGCACUAAGUUCAGCAUCAGUAUGGUGACCUCCCCAGAACAGGAGACCACCAGGUGGCCUAAAAAGGGGUAUACCAGCCCAUUUCAGGAAUGGAGCAGGUCAAAACUCCCAUGCUGAUCACUAGUGGGAUCGUGGCUGUGAAUAGCCACUGCUCUCCAGCCUGAGCAACACAGUGAGUGAGAAUGUGUCUCUU
This is an unclassified non-coding RNA of Pongo abelii (Sumatran orangutan), 296 nucleotides long. It matches the Rfam family "Metazoan signal recognition particle RNA". From Rfam's summary of the family: The signal recognition particle (SRP) is a universally conserved ribonucleoprotein. It is involved in the co-translational targeting of proteins to membranes. The eukaryotic SRP consists of a 300-nucleotide 7S RNA and six proteins: SRPs 72, 68, 54, 19, 14, and 9. NCBI's taxonomy places the organism in Eukaryota, Metazoa, Chordata, Mammalia, Primates, Hominidae. The record is from Ensembl.